This 524-nucleotide ribosomal RNA is filed under the name Burkholderia cepacia. RNAcentral's name for it is "bacterial SSU rRNA". It matches the Rfam family "Bacterial small subunit ribosomal RNA", at positions 1 to 522 of the family's 1533-position model. Lineage: Bacteria; Pseudomonadati; Pseudomonadota; Betaproteobacteria; Burkholderiales; Burkholderiaceae. The record is from RNAcentral.
UGGAGAGUUUGAUCCUGGCUCAGAUUGAACGCUGGCGGCAUGCCUUACACAUGCAAGUCGAACGGCAGCACGGGUGCUUGCACCUGGUGGCGAGUGGCGAACGGGUGAGUAAUACAUCGGAACAUGUCCUGUAGUGGGGGAUAGCCCGGCGAAAGCCGGAUUAAUACCGCAUACGAUCYACGGAUGAAAGCGGGGGACCUUCGGGCCUCGCGCUAUAGGGUUGGCCGAUGGCUGAUUAGCUAGUUGGUGGGGUAAAGGCCUACCAAGGCGACGAUCAGUAGCUGGUCUGAGAGGACGACCAGCCACACUGGGACUGAGACACGGCCCAGACUCCUACGGGAGGCAGCAGUGGGGAAUUUUGGACAAUGGGCGAAAGCCUGAUCCAGCAAUGCCGCGUGUGUGAAGAAGGCCUUCGGGUUGUAAAGCACUUUUGUCCGGAAAGAAAUCCCUGGCUCUAAUACAGUCGGGGGAUGACGGUACCGGAAGAAUAAGCACCGGCUAACUACGUGCCAGCAGCCGCGGUA